ACAGUGAUGUGCACAACCUUCGGAAUGACGAUCCUCAUUUUGUUUUCGGACUAACGAACCUUCAAAAUAAGUUAUUAACCUAACCUUAGGAAUAACGAAGCUUCGGAAUUACGAAUGUAUGCGAAAUUGACUACCCCCGCCAAGGGUUUAUUGACAAAUUCGAGAAAGAUUUAUAGGUGCUCUUAUUGCGCCUUACGCCACUUCUUCAUUCUUUGCAGCCAUGACAACCACAAAUUAUCCUGCCCACUUCGUUGCGUAGAGCGACGUAGAUCAAAUAAUUAUGUUAUCGUUUACGAGCUUUGUUAUAAGCUACAGUUACAAGCUAUGGUUCUCCGAGUACUCAUCCAAUCAGAGGCGAGAUUUUAACCGCGAGCCAAGCUCCAGCUAUUUGCGAACUCGACGGGAUUAUUUUUUUCCUCUCAAAAUUUUUCAUCGUUUGCCCCGCUGGUUUGCCGCCUACUCGCAUUGACCAAACUAUCAUCUCAAGGUGCUGUGCACGAACGUUGUUCUGCAGAUAUCAGAUAAUACAAUUUGCCAAUCAUCAAGUCUUCAAGAUUUUAAAGAAUUUCUCCAUACUCCACACCCAGAGGUAAUUAAGGGAAUCACCAUGACUGAACGCAAGGCUGUUAUCAAGAACGCUGAUAUGUCAGAAGACAUGCAGUCAGACGCGAUUGAAUGCGCUACCCAAGCUCUCGAGAAGUUCAACAUCGAGAAGGACAUCGCUGCCUUCAUCAAGAAGGAGUUCGACAAGAAGUACAACCCAACUUGGCAUUGCAUUGUGGGUCGCAACUUCGGCAGCUACGUGACACACGAGACCAAGCAUUUCAUCUACUUCUAUUUGGGACAAGUCGCCAUCUUGCUUUUCAAGUCGGGAUAGAGAUUCUUUGACGAGAUCCGAUGCUUGAUGAUGUUAUCUGCACAAACUGACAAUGCAAAGACUUAACCCUGCCAAAGCCCUCCGUGAUAAUUUGUACAUACUGGGAAAAAAUGUUUAUGUAUUAAUGCUUUAAUUUUUCUCUGUUCGGUCUCUGUAUUCAGCCUACAUGACAUCUCUAAUUGCAGAUGUCAGCAUGGUCAGUGUUCCAAGACUUAUAUAUUGAGACACUGUCCGAUGUUUAUUUUUUAAGAUCAAUCUAUUAAUCUUCAGUUUGACUUACCAGAAGAUGGACAAUCAUUUAUAAUUACGAUGUCUUGCCAAUGGUAUUAUUAUCAACUCAUUUUGCGUCUUAAGAUUUUUUGUUCCUUGAAAAGCGAAAAAUACUAUUUUCUUUUGGAUUCUUAAAAAAUAGAUAGGUCUACUUUUUCGACAUUCCGUUCUCUUACCUUGAAGCACCACCUUCUCAAAUGAAGGCUAAGAUGGAGUAUCGCCAUUUUAAGGGAAAGUUGUAAGAAAACGGGUUUCAGCUUACCAAUGACGUGAUAUUUGAUUUAUUUGAUAAAGCAGUAUUUCAAUCCAGUAUUAGUGCACCAGGGAAAUUUUCCCUUCUGUUUGUUACACUACAUUAUUCUUUUCUUGAUUCAACCAGCCAAAGCAAUUUUUUUAUUUGUGAAAGUGCUAUAUGAAAGUUGUUGAUGAUAAUUAUAUUAUAUUGUUGUAAUCAUGAUUGUCUUUUUUUUUUUGGGGGGGGGGGUUGGGGGAUGUCAUUCCGCUAUUACUAUUGAAAGAGAAACAAAAUAAAAGCAUAAGUACAAACAAAAAGUAACACAGUUUUGCCCACUCUAGUGCGUUUUAUUGUACUGCACUCUAUUUCGUUACAAGAGAGAAAUCCAACAAGAAUAACA
Lytechinus variegatus (green sea urchin) is the source of this 1782-nucleotide RNA transcript. It is a transcript of the gene named dynein light chain LC6, flagellar outer arm-like, with no coding region annotated. The record is from RefSeq and is a predicted model, not a curated record. The transcript has 2 exons. Lineage: Eukaryota; Metazoa; Echinodermata; Echinoidea; Temnopleuroida; Toxopneustidae.